This is a long non-coding RNA of Symphalangus syndactylus (siamang), 618 nucleotides long. RefSeq lists it as uncharacterized. The record is from RefSeq and is a predicted model, not a curated record. NCBI's taxonomy places the organism in Eukaryota, Metazoa, Chordata, Mammalia, Primates, Hylobatidae.
UCUUCCUUUGCCUUCCUCCAUGAUUGUGAGGCCUCCCCAGCCAUGUGGAACUAGCUUUGACUUUCUGGAAAAGAGGAAGAGGAGUUGUGGCAAAGACUGGAACUAACCCUUAACCUAGAAGAGAAACUGGUCAGAUAAUGGAUGGAUGGAUUUGGUUCAGCCCUGUUCAGGCUUGCUACUCAUUGCAUCAAUGUUCCCGUUCAAUCCGUCAGACGCACCCAUGUCCCUUCUGUAGAAAUCAGUGAAUCAUAUUGAAUCCUGAAUGUAAACUUUAACCCUAAUCUGACUUCAGUGAAGUAUAUACUGUUGAAGAAACCUGUCUGCACACUUUUUGAAAAUGUCCAGACUGCAGGGAGCCCAACCAAAUGAACUCGGCCCUUUUAAGCCUCCCCCUAACCCGAAUGAUCUGUAGUGCUGUCUGGCAUUCAGACACUUGUACAGCCUUGUGGUAUCUCUUCUGCUGCUAUCUUAUAUUAAUUUUCAUGCUUGAAAACAGUGUAUGUUUCUGCUUUGCUUCAUUAACUAGACUGUAAACAAUUUGAUUAUACACACCAUCCAUUUAAUGAUCAUUUUGUUGUUUUCUUCUCGAUAUCAUCCAAAACAACAGUAGAUGUGUAA